UACGGAGGGUGCAAGCGUUAAUCGGAAUUACUGGGCGUAAAGCGUGCGUAGGCGGUUCGUUAAGUCAGAUGUGAAAUCCCCGGGCUUAACCUGGGAAUUGCGUUUGAAACUGCAGAUCUAGAGUGCGGCAGAGGGAGGUGGAAUUCCAUGUGUAGCAGUGAAAUGCGUAGAGAUAUGGAAGAACAUCGAUGGCGAAGGCAACCUCCUGGGCUAGCACUGACGCUCAUGCACGAAAGCGUGGGGAGCAAACAGGAUUAGAUACCCUGGUAGUCCACGCCCUAAACUAUGUCAACUAGUUGUCGGGCCUUAUUGGGCUUGGUAACGUAGCUAACGCGUGAAGUUGACCGCCUGGGGAGUACGGUCGCAAGAUUAAAACUUAAAGGAAUUGACGG
RNAcentral lists this ribosomal RNA (392 nucleotides) under uncultured bacterium. RNAcentral describes it as "bacterial SSU rRNA". It matches the Rfam family "Bacterial small subunit ribosomal RNA", at positions 524 to 916 of the family's 1533-position model. The record is from RNAcentral.